GACGAACGCUGGCGGCGUGCUUAACACAUGCAAGUCGAACGGUGAAGCGCCUUCCUUUUUGGUGGGUGUGGAUGAGUGGCGAACGGGUGAGUAACACGUGAGUAACCUGCCCCCUUCUUCUGGAUAACCGCAUGAAAGUGUGGCUAAUACGGGAUAUUCUGGGUCUGUCGCAUGAUGGGUCUGGGAAAGAUAUUGUUUCGGUGGGGGAUGGGCUCGCGGCCUAUCAGCUUGUUGGUGGGGUGAUGGCCUACCAAGGCGGUGACGGGUAGCCGGCCUGAGAGGGUGGACGGUCACACUGGGGCUGAGACACGGCCCAGACUCCUACGCGAGGCAGCAGUGGGGAAUAUUGCACAAUGGGCGCAAGCCUGAUGCAGCGACGCCGCGUGAGGGAUGGAGGCCUGCGGGUUGUGAACCUCUUUCGCCAGUGAAGCAGGCCUGCCUCGUUUGUGGGUGGGUUGACGGUAGCUGGAUAAGAAGCGCCGGCUAACUACGUG
Molecule: ribosomal RNA, 494 nt
Filed under: uncultured bacterium
Lineage: Bacteria
Description: partial 16S ribosomal RNA
Rfam family: Bacterial small subunit ribosomal RNA
Source: RNAcentral